AACGAACGCUGGCGGCAUGCCUAACACAUGCAAGUCGAACGAGACCUUCGGGUCUAGUGGCGCACGGGGGCGUAACGCGUGGGAACCUGCCCUUAGGCUCGGAAUAACUCCCCGAAAGGGGGGCUAAUACCGGAUAAUGUCUUCGGACCAAAGAUUUAUCGCCUUGGGCUGCGCCCGCGUUGGCCUAGCCAGGUGGUAGGGUAAAAGCCGAUCAAGGCGACGAUCCAUAGCGGGUCUGAGAGACAGAGUAGCCACACUGGGGCGGGGCCACGGCCCGGACUCCUACGGGAGGCAGGCGUGCGGAAUCUUGCCCAACGGCCGAAAUCAUGAUGCAGCACUGCCGCGUGAGUGAUGAAGGCCUUAGAGUUGUACAGCUCUUUUACCCGCGAUGAUACUGACAGUACCGGGAGAAUAAGCACCGGCUAACUCCGUG
RNAcentral lists this ribosomal RNA (433 nucleotides) under uncultured bacterium. RNAcentral's name for it is "partial 16S ribosomal RNA". It matches the Rfam family "Bacterial small subunit ribosomal RNA", at positions 29 to 507 of the family's 1533-position model. The record is from RNAcentral.